RNAcentral lists this long non-coding RNA (716 nucleotides) under Numida meleagris (helmeted guineafowl). Its description in RNAcentral is "lncRNA (ENSNMEG00000012191.1)". Lineage: Eukaryota; Metazoa; Chordata; Aves; Galliformes; Numididae. The record is from RNAcentral.
GAACGUUGUUUCUAAACUGUAUCCUGUGUUCUUUUCUGUAGGUCACUUCUGUGCAGGCAGCUUUACAGAUGCUCCUCUGUGCCCAGCAGGGAGCUUCAAGCCCAAAGAGGGACUACACAUGCCCAGCAGCAGCAGCUCCUCGUUCUUGCCCGGAACUGGAUUGUGUCUAAAGUGUCCUGCUGGGUAUUUCUGUCCUGCUGGAGCAAGUCACCCAGCACCAUGCCAGCCAGGUACAUACAAUCCUCUCCAAGGACAGGAUGAAGCCACUGACUGCAGAGCCUGCCCAGCAGGAAGAGCUUGCACUCAGGCUGGAUUAGCCCAGCCUGACUCCGAGUGCUUACCGGGGUAAGCCUUGGUUGUUUUCUGUGCUUUCCUUUAUGUCUCUACAUAAUUAUGUAUAUUAUGUCUCCCUCUUGAGUCAAACCAUUGGCCCUGACCGACCUGCUGCGUUAUUAGGUACGUGUGCCCAGCGGGGUCAUCCAGCCCCCAUUUUCCCAGCAAUGCCUGUCCUCCAGGAACGGUUGGUGAUGGCUUCGAUCUCUUUGAUAAGUCCCAGUGUGAGACGUGUCCUGCUGGAUAUUUCUGUGCUAGAGGAACAGGGGGAAAACAGAAGCCUCCUGCUCCGUGUCCGGUUGGUCACUACUGCCCACCAGGCACAAAGCACGCAGUGCAGCACAAGUGUGCCCCGGGCACCUGGAGCAACAGGACAAGGCUGA